RNAcentral lists this non-coding RNA (27 nucleotides) under Rattus norvegicus (Norway rat). The record is from RNAcentral. Lineage: Eukaryota; Metazoa; Chordata; Mammalia; Rodentia; Muridae.
CAACUAUUGAUGUCGGCUGCUCCCCCG